UACGAAGGUGGCAAGCGUUACUCGGAAUUACUAGGCGUAAAGGGCAGGUAGGCGGUUUGGUUAGUCUGUUGUGAAAGCUCCUUGCUUAACGGGGAGAGGCCAACAGAUACUGCCAGACUUGAGUAUAGGAGAGGGUACUGGAAUUCCCGGUGUAGCGGUGAAAUGCGCAGAGAUCGGGAGGAACACCAAUGGCGAAGGCAGCUUGCUGGGACGACACUGACGCUGAGACGCGAAAGCGUGGGGAGCAAACAGG
This 253-nucleotide ribosomal RNA is filed under the name uncultured bacterium. RNAcentral describes it as "partial 16S ribosomal RNA". It matches the Rfam family "Bacterial small subunit ribosomal RNA", at positions 524 to 776 of the family's 1533-position model. The record is from RNAcentral.